UGUGGAGGAGACAGUGAUGGAGGUGGCUUCAGUGGUGGAGAUGGAAGUGGAGGACUCUGCUGAGGUGGUGGGGGCUUCUGUGGAGGUGACAGUAAUGGAGGUGGCUUCAGUGGUGAAGGUGGUGGAGAGUCCUGAGGUAGUUGGAGCUGUUGUGGAGGUCAUCUCUGCUGAGGUGACACCAGUGGGGGUGGCCUCAGUAGUGGGGAGGGCAGUGGAGGAGGGUCCUGAGGCGGUGGUGGGUUCUGUGGAGGUCAUACCUGUGGAGAUGAGCGGAGUUGAGAAGGCUCCAGUGGUGGAGAAGGAUGUGGAGGACUGUUCUGAGGUGGUGGGGGCUUCUGUGGAGGUCCCCUCUGUGGAGAUGACAGGAGUUGAGGUGGCUCCAGUGGUCCAGAACGAUGUGGAGGAAUGUUCUGAGGUGGUGGGGGCUGCUGUGGAGGUCACCUCGGUGGAGGUAGAAAUAGUGGAGGUGGCUCCCGUGGUGGAGAAGGGGGUGGAGGACUCUGCAGAGGUGGUAGUGGCUUCUGUGGAGGUCCCCUCUGUGGAGAUGACAGGAGUUGAGGUGGCUCCAGUGGUGGGGAAGGUGGUGGAGGAAUGUUCUGAGGUGGUGGGGGCUGUCGUGGUGGUCAUCUCUGUUGAGGUGACACCAGUGGAGGUGGCCUCAGUGGUGGGGAGAGAAGUGGAGGCGAGUCCUGAGGUGGUGGUGGGUUCUGUGGAGGUCAUACCAGUGGAGAUGAGAGGAGUUGAGGUGGCUCCAGUGGUCAAGAAAGUUGUGGAGGAAUGUUCUGAGGUGAUGGGGGAUUCUGUGGAGGUGACAGUGAUGGAGGUGGCUUCUGUAGUGAAGGUGCUGGAGGAGAGUCCAGAGGUAGUUGGGGCUGUCGUGGAGGACAUCUCUGUUGAGGUGAGAUCAGUGGAGGUGGCCUCAGUGGUGGGGAGAGCAGUGGAGGAGAGUCCUGUGGUGGUGGUGGGUUCUGUGGCGGUCAUACCAGUGGAGGUGGCUCCAGUGGUCAAGAAGGUGGUGGAGGAAUGUCCUGAGGUGGUGGGGGAUUCUGUGGUGGUCACCUCUGUGGAUGUGGAAGCAGUGGAGGUGGCUUCAGUGGUGGAGAUGGAAGUGGAGGACUCUGCUGAAGUGGUGGUAGGUGCUGUGGAGGUCCCCUCUGUGGAGAUGACAGGAGUUGAGGUGGCUCCAGCGGUGGAGAACGAUGUAGAGGGAUGUCCUGAGGGGGUGGGGGCUUCUGUGGGGGUUACCUCUGUGGAGGUGACACCAGUGGUGGUGGCCUCAGGGGUGUAGAUGGAAGUGGAGGACUCUGCUGAAGUGGUGGGGGCUUCUGUGGAG
RNAcentral lists this long non-coding RNA (1333 nucleotides) under Calidris pugnax (ruff). RNAcentral's name for it is "lncRNA (ENSCPUG00000008581.1)". The record is from RNAcentral. Lineage: Eukaryota; Metazoa; Chordata; Aves; Charadriiformes; Scolopacidae.